GCAGCAGAACACUCCUCUGCGCUUGAGCUUCAGAAAUGCUUGGGGAAAUGUAGCUUGUGUGGACGACACCGCACUCCUUGAUCAAUAAAAGAGCUUCCCUACUGAAAAGCUAUUUGAUUCAGAAAACAGCGACGCUACCACCACGCUACUGAGAAAUGUAGUUAAACUAGUAACGCCGCUACUUGUAGCGACGAUACUGCCCAACGCUGAAAACAAAAGUUAAUUUGCCCGCGGCCUCGGGCUGAACUGAAUGGGACCCCCCACGCAAUGCAAAUGUGUUGUUACGAAAACAGCGUUAUUUUAGGCUACGUCAGGCCGACAUGCAAUAUAUAAGUAGCCUAUUCGAGACGGCCAUGGACAUUAAUUUUUGUGUGAGCAGGUGAGCAAAAUAAACUACUGAGCAUACUCCAUUGAGAAAGAACGAGAAAGCACAAAAUGAACAUCGCGACUGUUCUGUUCGUGUUCCUGACCACGGUGGCUCCUGUCCGCACUCUGAUACGCUGUUCUGAGUGUGAUGAGAAGUGUACCAAGAGGCACAUCGAACACUCAGGCAGGGUUCUCAUCAGCAGCAACGUUAGUCAUUUCAUCACGGAGGAUACAAGCGAGCGCAUGCUGUCCCCAUGGACAUACGUAAAAGAUUUUAAUGCCAGCAGAUUACCGCAGUCUAUCUGGUCUGCCAGGUGCGAACAUCGUUAUUGCCGGGACAGCACGCUGUCGGGUUUCAACUACCGGCUGCGAGUGUGGAACGUUGUGUACAGCAUGAGAGUCUAUUACAAAGAGGCCUGCCAGGACGGCGGUCACUACAGGCUGGUUCCAGGGACGCUGAACGUGAACGUGGGAUGCACGUGCAUCAAACCCAGGUUAAAAGCACAGUGACGUGCACUCCUGCGCGGCACUGUAGCUGGCCUAAAUGUGUCGCAUACAUAUUAUAUGUGUGCUACGAUUAAUAUUAUAUAUUUCAUUUACAAGUAUGAUAUUUUAAAAUAUCUAAAAACGAGAUAAGACAUUAACUGACCAUCAGUACAUACACUGUGUGUAUGCCCCAACAAUCUUCCUUCUCAGUUUUACUUGAGGUUUAGUGACCUUUAAAAUUUAAUCUAGAAACACAGAACACAGGAUGGCGAUGGCUUGCCACCCUGGUCUUAAGACAUUUUGUCAGCAAGAGAAACUGACAGAACCUCAUGUUGCUCUGACAAAUUAGACAAAUG
Long non-coding RNA from Anguilla rostrata (American eel), 1208 nucleotides. RefSeq lists it as uncharacterized. NCBI's taxonomy places the organism in Eukaryota, Metazoa, Chordata, Actinopteri, Anguilliformes, Anguillidae. The record is from RefSeq and is a predicted model, not a curated record. The transcript has 3 exons.